ACUAAAUAGAUACCCAGGUAGUCCACGCUGUAAACGAUGAGUGCUAGAUGCCGGAUUUUUCGGUGUCGCAGCUAAACGCAUUAAGCACUCCACCUGGGAAGUACGAUCGCAAGGUUGAAACUCAAAGGAAUUGACGGGGGCCCGCACAAGCAGUGGAGCAUGUGGUUUAAUUCGAUGCAACGCGAAGAACCUUACCUAGGCUUGAAAAGCUUAUGACCGGCUGUGAAAGCAGCUUUCCCGCAAGGGCAUAAGUACAGGUGCUGCAUGGCUGUCGUCAGCUCGUGCCGUGAGGUGUUGGGUUAAGUCCCGCAACGAGCGCAACCCUUACCAUUAGUUGCCACCGGAGCAAUCCGAGCACUCUAAUGGAACUGCCUACGCAAGUAGUGAGGAAGGUGAGGAUGACGUCAAGUCCGCAUGGCCCUUACGCCUAGGGCUACACACGUGCUACAAUGGCCGCUACAACGGGCAGCAAAAUCGCGAGAUGGAGCGAAUCCCUAAAAAGCGGCCUCAGUUCGG
RNAcentral lists this ribosomal RNA (516 nucleotides) under uncultured bacterium. Its description in RNAcentral is "bacterial SSU rRNA". It matches the Rfam family "Bacterial small subunit ribosomal RNA", at positions 772 to 1296 of the family's 1533-position model. The record is from RNAcentral.